UAUUUGUUAUUAUCCCGUAAUUACCACUUGUAGCCACAGUGGGUGCUGUUUAGCUAAGGUUAAGCUAAGCCUAGCUUAAAGCAACUGUUCUGAAUCCAAGCUGAUUACAGGCUCUGUUUUCCAUGAAGGACCAACCUACAAACUUUUGACAACCACCUUUUAAGUCUACAGGAGGAUCCAGCAGAGGUCUUCUGACGGGGUGUCAAAGAGUUUGGGUCUGCUUUUGCUACUGAUAGUGAGCCUAAGGAGGAAGUAAUAUGCACCUCACCAGUGGGCGUAGAAGAAUCGCUAGAAGUCAGCAUGGAUGGGGAGAACUUUGAAAGCGCUGGUGAUGUCCGGUUUCGAGAGCCACAACCCUUUCCCGAGACCUGCUCCACCAACAUCCCGGAUCAAGCACUCAAUGUGUGGACCGUGUUCUGAGCUGAAGGAGCACAAGACUCCAGCGGGAUGAGGGGAGGCGGACUCUGUGUUUACAUCGAUGCUGCUUGGUGCUCAAGUGCAGUAAAAGUGAACAGACACGUUUCCAGAUGUCGAACAUUUUAUGUGAAGAUAAUAACCAUUUUAUUAUCUUCACUAUCUUGUUGCUGCUGUCUCGCAUUCCCCCAGAUUCAAAUUAAAAAAAUGCAAUGAAUUA
Long non-coding RNA from Siniperca chuatsi (mandarin fish), 634 nucleotides. RefSeq lists it as uncharacterized. NCBI's taxonomy places the organism in Eukaryota, Metazoa, Chordata, Actinopteri, Centrarchiformes, Sinipercidae. The transcript is spliced from 3 exons. The record is from RefSeq and is a predicted model, not a curated record.